UCAGGUAUGGUGUAGUGGCAACACAUCCAUUUCUUGUUCCGAAGUGCAACAGAAAUCAAUGGAAGUCUAGAGUUCGAUUCUCUGUACCUGAU
Molecule: non-coding RNA, 92 nt
Organism: Mycena maculata
Lineage: Eukaryota; Fungi; Basidiomycota; Agaricomycetes; Agaricales; Mycenaceae
Source: the annotation of a GenBank genome assembly